UACGUAGGGUGCGAGCGUUGUCCGGAUUUAUUGGGCGUAAAGAGCUCGUAGGCGGUUUGUCGCGUCGGCCGUGAAAUCUCCACGCUUAACGUGGAGCGUGCGGUCGAUACGGGCAGACUUGAGUUCGGUAGGGGAGACUGGAAUUCCUGGUGUAGCGGUGAAAUGCGCAGAUAUCAGGAGGAACACCGGUGGCGAAGGCGGUUCUCUGGGCAGUACCUGACGCUGAGGAGCGAAAGUGUGGGGAGCGAACAGG
Molecule: ribosomal RNA, 253 nt
Filed under: uncultured bacterium
Lineage: Bacteria
Description: partial 16S ribosomal RNA
Rfam family: Bacterial small subunit ribosomal RNA
Source: RNAcentral